AUUGAACGCUAGCGGCAGGCUUAACACAUGCAAGUCGAACGAGUGGCGGACGGGUGAGUAAUGCAUGGGAAUCUGGCUUAUGGAGGGGGAUAACUACGGGAAACUGUAGCUAAUACCGCAUACCAUAGGAGGAGCCCAAAUGGGAUUAGGUAGUUGGUGGGGUAAAGGCUCACCAAGGCGACGAUCUCUAGCUGGUCUGAGAGGAUGACCAGCCACACUGGGACUGAGACACGGCCCAGACUCCUACGGGAGGCAGCAGUGGGGAAUUUUGGGCAAUGGGGGCAACCUGACCCAGCCAUGCCGCGUGAAUGAAGAAGGCCUUCGGGUUGUAAAGUUCUUUCGGUAGAGAGGCGUUAACUACAGAAGAAGCACCGGCUAACUCCGUGCCAGCCGCCGCGGUAAUAC
This 405-nucleotide ribosomal RNA is filed under the name uncultured bacterium. Its description in RNAcentral is "partial 16S ribosomal RNA". It matches the Rfam family "Bacterial small subunit ribosomal RNA", at positions 30 to 526 of the family's 1533-position model. The record is from RNAcentral.